CUUUGACAAUCACAUGGUGUGAUUGACAGUUGCCAAGACAAAGAUUGGAGAAAUAAAUG
RNAcentral lists this non-coding RNA (59 nucleotides) under unclassified sequences. The record is from RNAcentral.